Molecule: long non-coding RNA, 674 nt
Filed under: Homo sapiens (human)
Lineage: Eukaryota; Metazoa; Chordata; Mammalia; Primates; Hominidae
Description: novel transcript, antisense to ROBO1
Source: RNAcentral
UAAUCACCUCCACCUGGUAACAACCAAUUGUCCACCGAAUGAUUUAGCGAAAUGUUUUUAUUGUAAAGAAAGAUACAGAGGCUGCCUUGAAAAUCUGAACUCCUUAAUGCCAUUUCCUUCAGCAAAACAGGCAUCUCUUAGAGUGUCAAGACAAGACCCAGAGUCUUGGUUCCUGUGUUUGCUCCCUGAGUGAAAAAUCAUGCUUCAAAUUGAUUCAUAGAUCUGGCAAAUACCACUGAUACUAGCAGCUGUUUGCUAAUAUUCUGAAUAGGUCAGAUCUUUGGUACAGAUGCUGCCAUCACAAUCCUAGAAGACUCACCAUUGCUUCACAGAGUGGAGGCAUGUCUUGUUCCACAACAGUGAGUAUGAAGGAUCUGGAAGAAUGGGCCACUCAGAAGAGUUGCUGAACCUUUUCAAGGCCGGGCGAGGUGGCUCACGCCUGUAAUCCCAGCACUUUGGGAAGCUGAGGUGGGCGGAUUGCGAGGUCAGGAGAUCAAGACCAUCCUGGCUAACACGGUGAAACCCCGUCUCUACUAAAAGUACAAAAAAAGUUAGCUGGGCGUGGUGGCGGGCGCCUGUAGUCCCAGCUACUUGGGAGGCUGAGGCAGGAGAAUGGCGUGAACCCAGGAGUCAGAGCUUGCAGUGAGCUGAGGUCGCGCCACUGCACUCCAGCC